This is a long non-coding RNA of Corapipo altera (White-ruffed manakin), 3682 nucleotides long. RefSeq lists it as uncharacterized. NCBI's taxonomy places the organism in Eukaryota, Metazoa, Chordata, Aves, Passeriformes, Pipridae. The transcript is spliced from 3 exons. The record is from RefSeq and is a predicted model, not a curated record.
GUACAGUAAAUUGACAAUAAAAUACUGGAGUUUCUGGAGUAUCUGUUUAAAAGAACCCAUUUGUAAAGUCCAUCUGUAAUAGUAAAUCACUAGUGACUGUUAUAUAUUGUAUCAGUUUCUCCCAGUUCUUGUAGCUACAUAUCUUUCUCUCUCUCCCUCUCUCUCUCUCUUCCUCUCACAUAACACACAGAGAAAAUUUUCCUGUUACAAAUUGUAAGAAUUGUUUUUCCUCACAUCCUUCCCAAAAACAUGGCUAUUCACUAGCAAUUUGCCAAAACUUGAUAAUGCUAAAAUAACGUCUUGCACGUACUAUCCCAAAAAUGAGAAGAGAACUGAUUUGCAGAAGAAAUCCUUCAUGUAGAAGCCUUGAGACAAGAAUACUAGCUAUGAACAAAAAAUAUCCUAUGUGAUGGGAAUUUCUGUGUGAACUGCUUCCAAAACCCAAGUUAAUCUAUAUUGAAAGUGCCAUUUUCAAGCUGAAUGAGCUGUUACAAAGCCUUACUGUUACUGUUUCUAUUUUUGUCCUUGUUAUUAUUCUAAGCACACUUAUUGUUUGGGGAGCAAUGAAAACUGUAUAAUGUUCAAAGGCAGAAAGUAUCAGUAUUUAGUGCAAGCCUUUUGUCACUCUUCUCACAGCAAAUCACUUGUAAUAGCAAUGGUGUAAAAAAUGACGAUGGCCCCACCAAACUUGCAGCAUUCUGCACUUCAGUUUACCAGGGCUGCACUAGCUGCAGGUUAAAAGAAGCAUGACUAAGUCAGUCAAGGAAAAUGCUUUACCCUCAAGGCUUUCUAGUCCACUCCACAAUAUGGGGAUGUCUCAGCCACUUUCAAAGGAAUGGGAGAUUUGUAGGGUAGACGGUACCAAUUAUGUGUAAUCAGGAGUCAAUGCAGACUUCAGAGCACCAAAACUUUCCACAUAUCACAUGUCAGUUAUAUUACUGACAUUUUUUGCAACUUCCUGAUAUUUUGAAAAUCCUCAGAUUGUAAUUUAGAUUAUUAAAACCUUGGUUUGAGAGAGCAAUGGGAAAGCAAAAGUUCACUACUGCACUUUCUCAAUAGAAGGGCUGUGUCCAAAAAAGGAGGUUUGGCUUUAAACACAUUCUUGUCUAAUGCAAUCUAAUCUAGCCACCAAGUCAAAGCUUAAUACAGAAAGAUCUUAUCCUGAAACAACUGGUAUGGUUGGAUAUGUUUUCUGUGCUCAUGUGUAUGUUUUGUUUAUGUAUGUAUAGAUGUGGUCAUGACUUGUGUGGGCACAAGCCAAAAAUAGUUAGAAGCAGUGUGUAUUCUAAUGAUGUUUAGUGCCAUGAUACUGAGCGAAACAGCAGAAGUAGGAAAUCUCAUGGCAAACUUAUUCUUGUGCUAUGGAACUGAACAGGUCCUCUAGCAAGAGGAAGCCCAAGAAAAGAAACAGUUAUACAGUUUGUAUUCUUUCUUAAGAUGAAAAGUGAAAUCAAUUUGGGAAGUAAAAAUACAGGUCACAGGAAGAACAGGAAAGGAACAAAGAGACAGAAGUAGUUGCAUAGAGAAAUGUCAGGUAAGCCUAUUUGGUGAAAGCACUUGAAAGCACUUUGGAAAAUAACAAUGGUCUCCAAGGAUUUCUGAUGGAGCAGUCUCACAUUCUAUAAUUUGCACUGAAGGCUCUCACAUACAAGCAGCAUCUUGAAAUGUCACCUUUUCUCAUCUCUAAUCUCUCCAGUGGAUGUCCAGCUAAGUACCUGGGGAUCUCACAGCAACUAAGCUGUUAAACUUUUAUCACCUGAAAGAGUAAACCUCGUCACCUUGAACAGGAUUUUCUUCACGGGAAUCUAGUACUAUGAAUUGGAGUCAGGACUUUUCUGCUAUUACCAUCCAAAAUGUAAAACCCAAGUGUUAAUAUUCUGUAAUGAAGACAUGCAGAAGGGGAAGUAAAUACCUAGAGAAAGUUCACAGAGCCGAAAUAGAGCAGGACUCUUGGAGAUAAUCAAAUUGGGAGGCCAAUAUGGAAAAAGGCUACAGAGUUUGAAAAGCAAUGUGUGGAAGAGAUAGUGGAAGGAAGAAAAAAUGAUGGCAAGAAAGGACAUGACUGCUUGUGAUUGCAGUCCUCAAGCCAGCUCAGUAAUGCUUCUGGGAAAGCAAAAAUGGGAUGCAAGAUGAAUGAGAGACUGGUGCAAAAGAGGAGAGAGACUGCAGAGCUCUCCCUACAGACUCUGCAUAUAUGAGGUGGAAGUAAGCAGUUACUACACAACUGGACUCAUCAUGUGGGUAACCUGUCAUCCAAGAAUCCAAAUUACAGUUUACCCCUUUAAUAAGGUCCUAAUACCCUGUGGACAAAAUGCAACACUCCUUGAGUUCAUUUAGUCACAUGGAAUAACAAGACUGUAAUCCCUGGUGGAUAUAAUAAUCUCCGAGCAGUUCACUAAAUGUGAACUCGGCGUGUUCUAUGAUUUUGUGAUUUCUAUUCAAUCUAGCUCUAGAGAACAAGAGAAAAAGAAAUACCACUGCAGUGGGAAUCCUGACUAAGGCUAUCACUAGAAAUGCCAACAGUCUUCUAGUUCUGAUCACAAGUGUUAUUUUUCUACAUAAUAAGGAGAGCAUGAGAGAGGAAAAUCAUAAUGCAGGUUCUUGUUCUAUUCUUUUUUUUUUUUUUUUUUGAGCACAGGCCUGUUGUCUGCAAUGUCUCACAAGUACUAGAGGCACUAAAUAUUUUUAACAGAACUCAGAACUCUCCUGCAGAAGAAAGAUUUUUCCCAUACAAUGUCUACAUUGAAUGGAAAUAUUUAAAAGUCUAGGAACACCUGGAUAAUAAAUAUCUGAAUCUUUUUCUUACUUAAUCUAUAACACCCUUUUUCUGACUUCCUCAAAUGAUAUUUUGAUGGGUUUUGUUUAGGUUUUUUGGGGGUUUUGGGGUUUAUUUAACAGAUCAUGCUAUGCUUUAAUGCUGCUAGCAAAACUUUCUGUAUUGCAUUACACCUCUUAUUUUCUCCGUCUGUUUUCUCUGAUUUACACUAAAAGGGGGAGAAUAACACUGUUAAACUGUUCAGUAGGUCACUGUAAAGCAGUAAAGUAACUGAAUUCAAAUACUGGAUUAAGUUCCAGAUGGUUGCUGCUUCGAAGUUCGGCAAAGAAUGGCUGCAGCGGCGGAGGAUUGAUCAUCCCUUUUCUGGAAGGACGCGACACUACAUUGUUGCUGAUCAACAGCGCCACUUUCUGCUGAAAGAAAAUCAUUACGUCUCGGGGAGAGGCAGUCUGGUAAACUGAUUUCAGUGACUUGACGCAAAUCACAAACCUUCCUCCUUGGUAGCUGGCUGGCUGUAUAAGAAACUUCUUCAUCAAAAUACGUGAAGUGCAUUCCAGAAAUGUUGCAGUCUGAUAAUGAGGCCUGAUGCUUAGAUGGAAAUGGAAAAAUGCAUGUUUGCUUUAGAGUUUUGUUCAAACAAUUUCAUUCUUACUUCCCCACCAGCAUCACCACCAUCUUGACCAUUCGUGCAUCACAACCUUAUGUCUAUAGUCUAAUGAAUGAUGUAAAUGCUGUGAUUUAUACAUAAAAUAAAAUCUUGUGAAGACUGCAUUAUUUCAUGUCAUUGCCUAUUUCAACAAAUGCACAUAAGAGUUCAUGAAGAUUCUUCACGGAAACAGACUUUUUUUAAAAAUAUUUUCGUGUAUAAUCCAGUGGGUAUUGAUAACUGCUAAAGCUCACAAACUA